UAUCAGAAGUGCGAAUGCUGACAUAAGUAACGAUAAAGCGGGUGAAAAGCCCGCUCGCCGGAAGACCAAGGGUUCCUGUCCAACGUUAAUCGGGGCAGGGUGAGUCGACCCCUAAGGCGAGGCCGAAAGGCGUAGUCGAUGGGAAACGGGUUAAUAUUCCCGUACUUGGUGUUACUGCGAAGGGGGGACGGAGAAGGCUAUGUUGGCCGGGCGACGGUUGUCCCGGUUUAAGCGUGUAGGUGUGUGUUCCAGGUAAAUCCGGUUCACUUUAACACUGAGGCGUGAUGACGAGGCACCACGGUGCUGAAGCAACAAAUGCCCUGCUUCCAGGAAAAGCCUCUAAGCAUCAGGUAACAUCAAAUCGUACCCCAAACCGACACAGGUGGUCAGGUAGAGAAUACCAAGGCGCUUGAGAGAACUCGGGUGAAGGAACUAGGCAAAAUGGUGCCGUAACUUCGGGAGAAGGCACGCUGACACGUAGGUGAAGUGAUUUACUCAUGGAGCUGAAGUCAGUCGAAGAUACCAGCUGGCUGCAACUGUUUAUUAAAAACACAGCACUGUGCAAACACGAAAGUGGACGUAUACGGUGUGACGCCUGCCCGGUGCCGGAAGGUUAAUUGAUGGGGUCAGCGCAAGCGAAGCUCCUGAUCGAAGCCCCGGUAAACGGCGGCCGUAACUAUAACGGUCCUAAGGUAGCGAAAUUCCUUGUCGGGUAAGUUCCGACCUGCACGAAUGGCGUAAUGAUGGCCAGGCUGUCUCCACCCGAGACUCAGUGAAAUUGAACUCGCUGUGAAGAUGCAGUGUACCCGCGGCAAGACGGAAAGACCCCGUGAACCUUUACUAUAGCUUGACACUGAACAUUGAGCCUUGAUGUGUAGGAUAGGUGGGAGGCUUUGAAGCGUGGACGCCAGUCUGCGUGGAGCCGACCUUGAAAUACCACCCUUUAAUGUUUGAUGUUCUAACGUGGACCCGUAAUCCGGGUUGCGGACAGUGUCUGGUGGGUAGUUUGACUGGGGCGGUCUCCUCCUAAAGAGUAACGGAGGAGCACGAAGGUUGGCUAAUCCUGGUCGGACAUCAGGAGGUUAGUGCAAUGGCAUAAGCCAGCUUGACUGCGAGCGUGACGGCGCGAGCAGGUGCGAAAGCAGGUCAUAGUGAUCCGGUGGUUCUGAAUGGAAGGGCCAUCGCUCAACGGAUAAAAGGUACUCCGGGGAUAACAGGCUGAUACCGCCCAAGAGUUCAUAUCGACGGCGGUGUUUGGCACCUCGAUGUCGGCUCAUCACAUCCUGGGGCUGAAGUAGGUCCCAAGGGUAUGGCUGUUCGCCAUUUAAAGUGGUACGCGAGCUGGGUUUAGAACGUCGUGAGACAGUUCGGUCCCUAUCUGCCGUGGGCGCUGGAAGACUGAGGGGGGCUGCUCCUAGUACGAGAGGACCGGAGUGGACGCAUCACUGGUGUUCGGGUUGUCAUGCCAAUGGCACUGCCCGGUAGCUAAAUGCGGAAAAGAUAAGUGCUGAAAGCAUCUAAGCACGAAACUUGCCCCGAGAUGAGUCUUCCCUGAGACCUUGAGUCUCCUGAAGGAACGUUAAAGACGAUGACGUUGAUAGGCCGGGUGUGUAAGCGCAGCGAUGCGUUGAGCUAACCG
This 1639-nucleotide ribosomal RNA is filed under the name Salmonella enterica. RNAcentral's name for it is "partial 23S ribosomal RNA". It matches the Rfam family "Bacterial large subunit ribosomal RNA", at positions 1280 to 2897 of the family's 2925-position model. Lineage: Bacteria; Pseudomonadati; Pseudomonadota; Gammaproteobacteria; Enterobacterales; Enterobacteriaceae. The record is from RNAcentral.